This 482-nucleotide ribosomal RNA is filed under the name uncultured bacterium. RNAcentral describes it as "partial 16S ribosomal RNA". It matches the Rfam family "Bacterial small subunit ribosomal RNA", at positions 28 to 523 of the family's 1533-position model. The record is from RNAcentral.
GACGAACGCUGGCGGCGUGCUUAACACAUGCAAGUCGAACGAUGAAACCUAGCUUGCUAGGUCGAUUAGUGGCGAACGGGUGAGUAACACGCGACUAACCUGCCCCUUUCUCUGGGAUAACGCUCCGAAAGGAGUGCUAAUACCGGAUACUCACACCGAGGCACAUGCCUUGGUGUGGAAAGUUUUUCGGAAAGGGAUGGAGUCGCGGCCUAUCAGCUUGUUGGUGAGGUAACGGCUCACCAAGGCGACGACGGGUAGCCGGCCUGAGAGGGCGACCGGCCACACUGGGACUGAGACACGGCCCAGACUCCUACGGGAGGCAGCAGUGGGGAAUAUUGCACAAUGGGCGCAAGCCUGAUGCAGCGACGCCGCGUGAGGGAUGAAGGUCUUCGGAUUGUAAACCUCUUUCAGUAGGGACGAAGCGAGAGUGACGGUACCUAAAGAAGAAGCACCGGCUAACUACGUGCCAGCCGCCGCCGUAA